This 435-nucleotide ribosomal RNA is filed under the name Rhizobium sp. CL1.32. RNAcentral's name for it is "bacterial SSU rRNA". It matches the Rfam family "Bacterial small subunit ribosomal RNA", at positions 17 to 500 of the family's 1533-position model. The record is from RNAcentral. Lineage: Bacteria; Pseudomonadati; Pseudomonadota; Alphaproteobacteria; Hyphomicrobiales; Rhizobiaceae.
CCCUGGCUCAGAACGAACGCUGGCGGCAGGCUUAACACAUGCAAGUCGAGCGCCUCGCAAGAGGAGCGGCAGACGGGUGAGUAACGCGUGGGAAUCUACCCAUCUCUACGGAAUAACGCAUGGAAACGUGUGCUAAUACCGUAUACGCCCUUUGGGGGAAAGAUUUAUCGGAGAUGGAUGAGCCCGCGUUGGAUUAGCUAGUUGGUGGGGUAAAGGCCUACCAAGGCGACGAUCCAUAGCUGGUCUGAGAGGAUGAUCAGCCACAUUGGGACUGAGACACGGCCCAAACUCCUACGGGAGGCAGCAGUGGGGAAUAUUGGACAAUGGGCGCAAGCCUGAUCCAGCCAUGCCGCGUGAGUGAUGAAGGCCUUAGGGUUGUAAAGCUCUUUCACCGGAGAAGAUAAUGACGGUAUCCGGAGAAGAAGCCCCGGCUAA